ACCUGGACCGGACAGACCCCCUAAAGCUCAGAGACCUGGACCAGGACCAGGACCUGGACCCAGCUGUGUGUCCAUGAAAAGUACUGAUUCUAAGGGCUGGCCAAUUGACUUCCAACAGGAUGGUUCAUCAGAGUCAUCGAUCCAUCAGAGACCACAGUCCUCUGGACCUGAUCCUGGACCCAGUGGUGUGUCC
Long non-coding RNA from Sphaeramia orbicularis (orbiculate cardinalfish), 193 nucleotides. RefSeq lists it as uncharacterized. Lineage: Eukaryota; Metazoa; Chordata; Actinopteri; Kurtiformes; Apogonidae. The transcript is spliced from 3 exons. The record is from RefSeq and is a predicted model, not a curated record.